AUCAUCAGUUUAAAGACUGACUAUCCUCUGAUGUCGCAUUGUAAACUGAUGAACUGCUGAAACUGUUUCACCUCUUCCGCUAAUUAGUUCAUUUUACGAUCCCAUCGUUUGUUUUCCUCUCAGACACUGAAAGUUUUACUGAUCCAGUCACGGAUGAAAUCAAAAUCACUUCGAUACAGAAACUCUACAGAGACGCUGGAGGUCAGUCAGAGAAACUCAGUCUAUAUAAUGAUGUCUGAACUAAAUGCUGCUUUUGUAUUAAUUAACGACCAGGAUCAUUUCUAUCUGAUCAUUAUUAACAACAAUUUUAGAUGUUUUACAGACAGCAAACAAACACCAACAUACUGUUUGUCAAAGCAGCCACAGAAACUCAGCAACACUGAAGUCUGCAUAAAAACUGAAAGGAGAUGAAGAGGAAGUAAGACAGCGGCUGGACGUGGGCGAGACAUGUGACCCAUGACCAGUUUAUCAUAGUUUAGUGAGGAGGCAGCCACUUCAUACAGGAGAUAUAAAGAUGUGCAUUCAACCUGCGUUGCACCUGCAGUCUGCCUGUUAACACAGACUCCAGCCAUAUUAAGUUUCAGGAUGAAAGAAGAGACUCUCCAUCAAUCUACUGUUUUAUACUGAUGCAGUCGUCAUGGCAACAGAAACACAAAGAGGUGUCCAUGACAACAGCUGGACUGUUUGAUCAGCUGCACAGAAUCACCGAGUGUGUGUAGUGAUGGGAAUUACGGCUCUUUGAAGGGAGAUGCGACACCACAGAAUCCCACAGACACAAAGUUUCUGCAUCGUGUGUUUUUUACAGCAGUGGUUCGAGACACCCGACCCCACCAUUUAAUGAUAAAUCCUGCUGCACCUCUGGACCGACCACCAGGCCCCCACUGUGGGAACCACUGGUUUACAGGAUGAACAGUCUUUUCCAGAAAACAUCAGUUUCUCUUUCAUGGUGCACCAACGUGGAAAUAGUCUCCCGGUCCUGCUCACCAGCGCCGGAACAUCUAACUGUACGGUGCAGACCACUCUACCUACCAGGGGAGCUCCUCUGCUACUGUUAACUGCUGACUAUACACAGCCGCAAGCUAAUGCCAUCGCGGCACAGUUGUGGUGGUGGACUUUAACCAUUGUAACUUGAAAACUGUGCUGCCAAAAUACUACCAACAUGUCAAAUGUCCAACCAGAGGCGACAAAACACUUGCUCACUGUUACUCCACGAUCAAAGGAGCUUACAGACGUAUCCUACAACCUCACUUUGGGAAAUCCGAUCACCUAUCAGUACUUUCGCUUCCCGCCUACAAGCAUAAAGUUAAGUGUACGCAGCGCGCUGUGAGGACAGGGCAGUGUUGGACUGCAGAACACACAUCCAGACUCCAGAGAUGUUUUGAAUCAACAGACUGGGCAAUCUUUAAGGAUUCCACCUCGAGUUUGGAUGAAUACACUGAAUCUGUCAGUGGCUAUAUUAUAAUCUGUGUGGAUAAUCCGAUCCCAGCACGGGCCGCUGUCUUUAUGCCCGCUUCGAAGCCCACAGCCCGGACCUACAGGCGACAGCAGCGCAGCGCCCACCCACUGCAGUCGAUCCACAGGCGCAGAGGUUCACGAGUAAAACCUUUAAAAGGGUGAAGGCUGGCAAAGCUGAUGUUGCAUGUCUCCAGUUCAGACGCCUCCGAGUUUCAGAUCUCACCAGAUAAGCAGCGAUGAAGGCUCCGAUGAGGAAGCCCACGUACACGUCGAUGGGAUGGCUGCGAUGCUGAGUGAUCUGAGUCAGACCCGUCAAC
Molecule: long non-coding RNA, 1772 nt
Organism: Siniperca chuatsi (mandarin fish)
Lineage: Eukaryota; Metazoa; Chordata; Actinopteri; Centrarchiformes; Sinipercidae
Exons: 3
Source: RefSeq, a predicted model, not a curated record